This 253-nucleotide ribosomal RNA is filed under the name uncultured bacterium. RNAcentral describes it as "partial 16S ribosomal RNA". It matches the Rfam family "Bacterial small subunit ribosomal RNA", at positions 524 to 776 of the family's 1533-position model. The record is from RNAcentral.
UACGUAGGGGGCAAGCGUUGUCCGGAUUUAUUGGGCGUAAAGAGCGUGUAGGCGGCCGUGUAGGUCCGUUGUGAAAACUCGAGGCUCAACCUCGAGACGUCGAUGGAAACCACACGGCUAGAGUCCGGAAGAGGAGAGUGGAAUUCCUGGUGUAGCGGUGAAAUGCGCAGAUAUCAGGAAGAACACCGAUGGCGAAGGCAGCUCUCUGGGACGGUACUGACGCUGAGACGCGAAAGCGUGGGGAGCGAACAGG